Molecule: ribosomal RNA, 383 nt
Filed under: uncultured Alphaproteobacteria bacterium
Lineage: Bacteria; Pseudomonadati; Pseudomonadota; Alphaproteobacteria
Description: bacterial SSU rRNA
Rfam family: Bacterial small subunit ribosomal RNA
Source: RNAcentral
ACAGGUGCUGCAUGGCUGUCGUCAGCUCGUGUCGUGAGAUGUUGGGUUAAGUCCCGCAACGAGCGCAACCCUCAUCCUUAGUUGCCAUCAUUCAGUUGGGCACUCUAGGGAAACUGCCGGUGACAAGCCGGAGGAGGGCGGGGAUGACGUCAAGUCCUCAUGGCCCUUAUGGGCUGGGCUACACACGUGCUACAAUGGCGAUUACAAUGGGCAGCGAAGGGGCGACCUGGAGCGAAUCCCCAAAAAUCGUCUCAGUUCGGAUUGGGGUCUGCAACUCGACCCCAUGAAGUCGGAAUCGCUAGUAAUCGCGUAACAGCAUGACGCGGUGAAUACGUUCCCGGGCCUUGUACACACCGCCCGUCACACCAUGGGAGUUGGGUUUA